Rattus norvegicus (Norway rat) is the source of this 1046-nucleotide non-coding RNA. The record is from RefSeq and is a predicted model, not a curated record. NCBI's taxonomy places the organism in Eukaryota, Metazoa, Chordata, Mammalia, Rodentia, Muridae.
ACAUUGGGAAACUGAGGCCCGAACCGCCUAAGAUUCUCUUUCCCGGCUCUGCGAGCCCAGCCGACGUUCCUUACAAGGUCCCGGCAGUGAGGAAUGAGCGGCCACCUGAGGACUGCACCGGGCAGGGAGCAAGAACUCAGUGGCCCUGCCCUUUCUUUUCAUCAUCUGCUGCAGAACAGCAUCAUAUUCAAGAAUGAGGACAUGAUGAGCAGGGGGUGGUUUUCACGACAGGAUGCUUCCCGAGCAAGAUAAAAGGGUCCAGGAGACACGGGGCCAUUCAUCUACACAUUCUGGAGGCGGAAGGUAGGAAGAAAGAAUAGCAGAGGUUUCCUGACUUGGACUACCAAGCUCGCACAAAAAGCAAAAUUCUUGAGUGCUUUCCUCAUCUCUCCCCAUCUUCCCCUUCCUCACCCCUGUCCCAUCAUGUAGCUCCCUGUGUUCCUGAGCUGAUUGGCUUCUCCUCUCAUGCCCUAUAGUCAGACAUGAUUUUCUGGACUCACAGACAACCCAGGAGCAAUAAGAGAAAACAUCACAUUUGUCUUUCGGAGACUGACCUAAGACGACUCCUAUGAUUCUCUUCAGCAGCAUCCAUGCUUCUGUGAACAGUGUGACUUCUUUUGUGGGUACUGAGAAAUCCAUCAUGUGUAUUUCACAUCCUGGUUAUCCAUUGCUCUUUUGAUGGAUGCUGUACUGGCUGGUUCUGUGUGUCCACUUGACACAAGCUGGGGUUAUCCCAGAGAAAGGAGCCUCCCUUGAGGAGAUGCCGCCAUGAGACCCAGCUGUAAGGCAUUUUCUCAAUUAGUGAUCAAGGGGAGAAGGUCCAGCCCAAUGUGGGCGGUGCCAUCCCGGGGCUGGUGGUCCUGGGUUCUAUAAGAAAGCAGGCUGAGCAAGCCAGGGGGAGCAAACACAGUAAGCAACAUCCCUCCAUGGCCUCUGCAUCAGCUCCUACUUCCAGAUUCCUGCCCUGUGUAAGCGCCUGUCCUGACUUGCUUUGGUGAUGAACAGCAAUGUAGAAGUAUAAGCUGAAUAAACCCUUUCCUCCCCAA